This 496-nucleotide long non-coding RNA is filed under the name Sorghum bicolor (sorghum). RNAcentral describes it as "long non-coding RNA (SBIC_LNC011179)". Lineage: Eukaryota; Viridiplantae; Streptophyta; Magnoliopsida; Poales; Poaceae. The record is from RNAcentral.
CCAUCACAUAAAUAUCAUGCACAUCACAUAAAUGUCACAUUUAAACAAAUCCAUAAGUAUAAAUCCACAAGUUCAUUACAAGUCCAUCUAAAUAAAUCCACAAGUCCAUCACAAGUCCAAAUAAGUAACACAAGUGCAUCGUAAGAGAACUGCAACUGCGACUGUGUUGUACCAUGACACUGCGACUGUGGUGUACCAACCGAACAAACACAUGCAAAGAGAACUACCCGGCUCCCCAAGGUCCCCACUGCGACUGUGGUGUACCAUGACCUGGAACAUUCGAACCGGCGGAUGGAGGCUGCACAAAAGAGAUAUAGUAUUAUGGAUCGAUCCUAAAUCCAUUUGGCUACAUAUAAUAUUAUGGUUUAAUCCUAAGCAAUUAGCAACAAACUUAGACACUCAUACUCAUACUUACAGGAGUACCGCGCGCGGAAGGUGGAGGUGGAGGAAUAGCGAAUAGCGAAGGUGGCGCAGCUAAACCCUUAUGUUGCCCAAG